Limulus polyphemus (Atlantic horseshoe crab) is the source of this 864-nucleotide long non-coding RNA. RefSeq lists it as uncharacterized. The record is from RefSeq and is a predicted model, not a curated record. The transcript is spliced from 3 exons. Lineage: Eukaryota; Metazoa; Arthropoda; Merostomata; Xiphosura; Limulidae.
UCGAAUCAACCAUUUGAGUUUGAUGACGAAAAACCAACUUUUCAGAAAAUAAAAUUUUUUACAUCCAGUUGAGUAUUUUCAAGAGGGGUAUCUAGGUUUUGCUAACUUCUACGCCAGGAUGACUGUGUUAUCAGUUAGGUUUAAUACACUAGGCCUGGCUUUUGGUAAGAUGUACUGUAUGAUCAAAGCAGACCCAAAACGUUCUUGUAGAAGGCUUAUAUUUUUUUCUGUUUGGAUGUAAAAGGAUUCUCUUAACUCCUUAGAUGUAGAAAACUGAUCCUUUCUGCAUAACACUAAUCCAAUUUGUUGUAUGGUCUUCUUUGGUACGAUGGACUAUUGCUGACAGCGGACUUCUGGUGAGAGACAGCUAUAAUUAGGUUUCACUGAACUGAACACACUGCAUGUGAACGUGAAACUAAGAAGUUUGGAAUGUUUUGACGUGACACCUACAUUCUCGGUGCUCAAAGAUCUUCAUUUUAUAAUUAACGUUUCAGGGAUUUGGUUGUUUGCUAUUUUUGUACUCUUUUGUAUAUAUAUAUAUUUAUCUUCAAAAUCUUAACCUCUUUAUUUAUAUAUAAAACAAAAACUUUGCUUAACAGAAUUGGAAACACAUUUGUAUUGUCUACUUCAGAGGUCAGUAAGUAGAAGAAAAAUGAUUUCGUAUCCUAAUUAAUAAUAUCUUUAUACAAUCAGUCCAACUGUAUUAUUCAGAUUACACUCUUAUUAUAAAUCAGUUUAAAUAUACUGUAACACAGUCAGUUUACACCAAACCCACACAGUCAGUUUAAAUAUACAUUAAUACAAUCAGUUUACACCAAACUCAUACAGUUUAAAUAUACAUUAAUACAAUCAGUUUACACCAAA